This 24-nucleotide microRNA is filed under the name Vitis vinifera (wine grape). RNAcentral's name for it is "miRNA s1434076_2". The record is from RNAcentral. Lineage: Eukaryota; Viridiplantae; Streptophyta; Magnoliopsida; Vitales; Vitaceae.
UUAACAGGAGUGGGUGGUCUUUCC